Long non-coding RNA from Alligator mississippiensis (American alligator), 2010 nucleotides. RefSeq lists it as uncharacterized. The record is from RefSeq and is a predicted model, not a curated record. NCBI's taxonomy places the organism in Eukaryota, Metazoa, Chordata, Crocodylia, Alligatoridae. The transcript is spliced from 3 exons.
AAUGACUGACAUUGCUUGCUGCUCCAGACUCCUCCAGAUCUGGGGACUAGAGGUUUGCCCCACUGCUCCCUCUGCUCUGCCCACAGCACUUGGGACUAGAUUGGAGAAGCAGCUUAUCUUUGCUCCCUACCCACUGCCCAGACUGGGGGUCCUGUGUUGAGGAGUGGGUGGGUGGGUUUUCCCCACUGCUCCCCAGACUGUCAGCAGGGAAGUACAUAUGCUGUUGGAAAGAUGUGGGCACAGAGGAGUGGGCUCAGGGAGGCUCUCCAGAAACCUGGUUCCUGGCAUCCCCCACCUUUGAAAUCAUUGCCCAUACUGCCCAUUUGGGGCCAGGAACCAGGGCCGGGGAAGCUCUUCCCACUGAACUUCCAAGCGUACAGGUUUUAAAUGCCACCCACAAUGUCCAGCUGGGUGGCACAUGUAGGGAUUUAAAAGCCCGUGGGGUCUAGAACCAGUGCCAGGGAAAUUUUUCCCACUUCAGUUCCCAGCCCCUUGGAGUUUAAAUGCUGCCCGUACCACCCAAUUUGGCAGCACAUGUGGGGAUUUAAAAGUUGGGGAGCUGGGACUUGGGCACAAGAAGCCUUUCCUUUGCCCCAUUUCCCCACAUCUCCAGCUUAAAAUUACCUUGUGUGCAGCUGAUCUGGCUCCAUGUAUAGCAAUUUAAAAGCCAAAAGGCUUCCUUUUGACAGCCUGCUCCCUUCCUGGGCAGGGGAGAGGAUAGACUGUCAAGUAAUAGGUCCUCCUAAGGGUGAGGAUGGCCCAGGGAACAGCCCUCUAGUGCUCCCUGGCUAGAGCGCUCGCCUGUGUAGGGGUUGGAAUGCAUGUAUGCUCCAGUCCUGAGGCUAUUUUUCUAAUGGGGAGAAAUCUGGUAGACAUUAAAGAAUCAGUGAGAUUGUUGCCAGUAGAAAUGUCUGCCUCUUUUUGCCUAGUGACAACUCAUUGUCACUGCAGUCUUAUGUCCGUGACACUAUAUGGUUGUAUCAUUUAUUUGUGUUACAGAACACAAUGAGGAAAUACAUAAACUUUAUAGGAAUUAAUUUACAUUGCAAGCCUUUUGAAGGAAAUGGUGUUCUUUUCUCUUCCUGCUGACAAUAUAAUAUUUUUUGUACAUCUUUCUCAAAGCCAAACUCCAAUUUGUAUUUCCCAAAGAGGAGUUAAGGUAGAAAUGUUCUUUGUUUUUCUGUUCCUCCACGUUGCUAGAUUGACAUUCAUGAAGACCAGAGCCCUCCACAGAACAGCUACAUACCGAGCAAAAGCAAAUGAGGCUUUGCUAGUCCCAAGCCAGAUUUUCCAAAAGAACAUGAAGUAAGAUUUUAGUUGUGGACUUAUAAGUAAUAGUGGAUGAGAAGGGCUAUGUCUAAAAGACUUGGAAGAAAAAUGCUUCUCAGCUUGGAGCACAACACGAUACAAAGAUCUCCAAGAGAGGAACAAAGAAAAAUAAUAAGCAUUGUGAAGAAAUCAAAGAUCAAGGGUGUCAGAGCAGAGCUUAGUGGUUGAGUGCCUUGGCACAGUGGAACUUUCUAGCACAAGGCAUGGUGAGAUUUUGUACGAGGGAAUUUCUCGGCACGGUGGAGAACCCCGGCAUGGAAAGGUUCCCGCCACUUAUAUGCAAAUUUACACAUUACUAUUGGCUGGUUCUAAAUUAUUCCUAUGUGGCGACUAGCAAUUGACUCGCUAGCUGUAUAAAAGGUUGGAGCAGUUUCUGCCCAAGUUGGAGAACUCCGCGCCCAUCUCGGAGUGAACGUGGCGGACUGAUCAACCACUGACGACUCCCUGUCGCCGACCACCCCAACGUACCCCCGUGUCCUGCACGCUCGUGUUAAAGAUAUCUUGUCUCCUCAGUUAAACUGUAACUGAAGUUUGAAGUUAACUUUCUUCCUACGCUGUACAUCUCAACAGUGUAAGUAAAGCCAUCUUUGUUUGAACCAGUACGUGUUUGUGCCUAAUUCUACUCCAGCGGUUGAAAGUACCCAUCUGUACGUUCUGGGUUUGUGGCCACAACCCAGCCGA